UGUAAAAGCUUAAUAUCUUUGCCUCGAAGUUUGAAAUACCUCACUACAUUAAAGACUCUUCUUAUUGACAAUUGUGAAAACCUCAAUUUGACAAUGGGGGAAGGGAAAGACGGUCAAGACUUGGCCCGAUUCGGCCUUCAAAAGCUGAUACUUGUGCAGUUGCCAAAGUUGGUGGAGUUUCCAAAAUGGCUUCUCCAAGGAUCCACCAACACUCUGCAA
RNAcentral lists this unclassified non-coding RNA (219 nucleotides) under Hevea brasiliensis (rubber tree). The record is from RNAcentral. Lineage: Eukaryota; Viridiplantae; Streptophyta; Magnoliopsida; Malpighiales; Euphorbiaceae.